CCCUUAGAGUUUGAUCCUGGCUCAGAUUGAACGCUGGCGGCAGGCCUAACACAUGCAAGUCGAACGGUAACAGGAAGCAGCUUGCUGCUUUGCUGACGAGGGCGGACGGGUGAGUAAUGUCUGGGAAACUGCCUGAUGGAGGGGGAUAACUACUGGAAACGGUAGCUAAUACCGCAUAACGUCGCAAGACCAAAGAGGGGGACCUUCGGGCCUCUUGCCAUCGGAUGUGCCCAGAUGGGAUUAGCUAGUAGGUGGGGUAACGGCUCACCUAGGCGACGAUCCCUAGCUGGUCUGAGAGGAUGACCAGCCACACUGGAACUGAGACACGGUCCAGACUCCUACGGGAGGCAGCAGUGGGGAAUAUUGCACAAUGGGCGCAAGCCUGAUGCAGCCAUGCCGCGUGUAUGAAGAAGGCCUUCGGGUUGUAAAGUACUUUCAGCGGGGAGGAAGGUGCUGAGGUUAAUAACCUCAGCAAUUGACGUACCCGCAGAAGAAGCACCGGCAACUCUG
This 510-nucleotide ribosomal RNA is filed under the name uncultured bacterium. RNAcentral's name for it is "bacterial SSU rRNA". It matches the Rfam family "Bacterial small subunit ribosomal RNA", at positions 1 to 505 of the family's 1533-position model. The record is from RNAcentral.